This 1066-nucleotide ribosomal RNA is filed under the name Halomonas caseinilytica. RNAcentral describes it as "bacterial SSU rRNA". It matches the Rfam family "Bacterial small subunit ribosomal RNA", at positions 51 to 1108 of the family's 1533-position model. Lineage: Bacteria; Pseudomonadati; Pseudomonadota; Gammaproteobacteria; Oceanospirillales; Halomonadaceae. The record is from RNAcentral.
ACACAUGCAAGUCGAGCGGAAACGAUCCUAGCUUGCUAGGAGGCGUCGAGCGGCGGACGGGUGAGUAAUGCAUAGGAAUCUGCCCGGUAGUGGGGGAUAACCUGAGGAAACUCAGGCUAAUACCGCAUACGUCCUACGGGAGAAAGCAGGGGCUCUUCGGACCUUGCGCUAUCGGAUGAGCUUAUGUCGGAUUAGCUGGUUGGUGAGGUAACGGCUCACCAAGGCGACGAUCCGUAGCUGGUCUGAGAGGAUGAUCAGCCACAUCGGGACUGAGACACGGCCCGAACUCCUACGGGAGGCAGCAGUGGGGAAUAUUGGACAAUGGGGGCAACCCUGAUCCAGCCAUGCCGCGUGUGUGAAGAAGGCCCUCGGGUUGUAAAGCACUUUCAGUGAGGAAGAAGGCUUGUCGGUUAAUACCCGGCAAGAAAGACAUCACUCACAGAAGAAGCACCGGCUAACUCCGUGCCAGCAGCCGCGGUAAUACGGAGGGUGCGAGCGUUAAUCGGAAUUACUGGGCGUAAAGCGUGCGUAGGCGGCUUGAUAAGCCGGUUGUGAAAGCCCCGGGCUCAACCUGGGAACGGCAUCCGGAACUGUCAGGCUAGAGUGCAGGAGAGGAAGGUAGAAUUCCCGGUGUAGCGGUGAAAUGCGUAGAGAUCGGGAGGAAUACCAGUGGCGAAGGCGGCCUUCUGGACUGACACUGACGCUGAGGUACGAAAGCGUGGGUAGCAAACAGGAUUAGAUACCCUGGUAGUCCACGCCGUAAACGAUGUCGACUAGCCGUUGGGGUCCUCGAGACCUUUGUGGCGCAGUUAACGCACUAAGUCGACCGCCUGGGGAGUACGGCCGCAAGGUUAAAACUCAAAUGAAUUGACGGGGGCCCGCACAAGCGGUGGAGCAUGUGGUUUAAUUCGAUGCAACGCGAAGAACCUUACCUACCCUUGACAUCGUGCGAACUUUCCAGAGAUGGAUUGGUGCCUUCGGGAACGCACAGACAGGUGCUGCAUGGCUGUCGUCAACUCGUGUUGUGAAAUGUUGGGUUAAGUCCCGUAACGAGCGCAACCCCUGG